Molecule: ribosomal RNA, 751 nt
Filed under: uncultured Polaromonas sp.
Lineage: Bacteria; Pseudomonadati; Pseudomonadota; Betaproteobacteria; Burkholderiales; Comamonadaceae
Description: bacterial SSU rRNA
Rfam family: Bacterial small subunit ribosomal RNA
Source: RNAcentral
AUUGAACGCUGGCGGCAUGCCUUACACAUGCAAGUCGAACGGUAACGCGGGGCAACCUGGCGACGAGUGGCGAACGGGUGAGUAAUAUAUCGGAACGUGCCCAAUUGUGGGGGAUAACGUAGAGAAAUUUACGCUAAUACCGCAUACGAUCUAAGGAUGAAAGCGGGGGAUCGCAAGACCUCGCGCAAUUGGAGCGGCUGAUAUCAGAUUAGCUUGUUGGUGAGGUAAAAGCUCACCAAGGCGACGAUCUGUAGCUGGUUUGAGAGAACGACCAGCCACACUGGGACUGAGACACGGCCCAGACUCCUACGGGAGGCAGCAGUGGGGAAUUUUGGACAAUGGGCGAAAGCCUGAUCCAGCAAUGCCGCGUGCAGGAAGAAGGCCUUCGGGUUGUAAACUGCUUUUGUACGGAACGAAACGGUCUGCCCUAAUACGGCGGGCUAAUGACGGUACCGUAAGAAUAAGCACCGGCUAACUACGUGCCAGCAGCCGCGGUAAUACGUAGGGUGCGAGCGUUAAUCGGAAUUACUGGGCGUAAAGCGUGCGCAGGCGGUUAUGUAAGACAGUUGUGAAAUCCCCGGGCUCAACCUGGGAAUUGCAUCUGUGACUGCAUAGCUAGAGUACGGUAGAGGGGGAUGGAAUUCCGCGUGUAGCAGUGAAAUGCGUAGAUAUGCGGAGGAACACCGAUGGCGAAGGCAAUCCCCUGGACCUGUACUGACGCUCAUGCACGAAAGCGUGGGGAGCAAACAGG